UGAAUACGAGAUGCUACGGCGUCGAAGCAGUCUAUGUCAUACUUCCAAGAAAAGCUUGCACUGUCAUAAACAAAUAAUGCCUGUACCAUAACCGACACAGGUGGGUAGGUAGAGUAUACUAAGGGGCGCGAGAUAACUCUCUCUAAGGAACUCGGCAAAAUGACUCCGUAACUUCGGGAGAAGGAGUGCCAUAUUUAUAAGGUUGCAAUAACAAGAUCCAAGCAACUGUUUACCAAAAACACAGGUCUCCGCUAAGUCGUAAGACGAUGUAUGGGGGCUGACGCCUGCCCAGUGCCAGAAGGUUAAAGAAGUUGGUUAGCAUCCGCGAAGCUGAUAACUGAAGCCCUGGUGAACGGCGGCCGUAACAAUAACGGUCCUAAGGUAGCGAAAUUCCUUGUCGGGUAAGUUCCGACCCGCACGAAAGGCGUAAUGAUUUGGAUACUGUCUCGGAGAGGGGCUCGGUGAAAUAGACUUGUCUGUGAAGAUGCGGACUACCUGCACCAGGACAGAAAGACCCUAUGAAGCUUUACUGUAACCUGAAAUUGAAAUUGGACUUUACUUGCGCAGUAUAGGUGGGAGGCGUUGAGAAUAUUCUUGCGGGAUUAUUGGAGCCAUCAGUGAGAUACCACUCUUGUAAUGUUAGAUUUCUAACUUUGUAUCAUUAUCUGGUCAAAGAACAGUUUCAGGCGGGCAGUUUGACUGGGGCGGUCGCCUCCUAAACGGUAACGGAGGCGCACAAAGGUUUCCUCUGAACGGGUAGAAAUCGUAUCUAGAGUGUAAAGGCAUAAGGAAGCUUGACUGUGAGACCUACAAGUCGAGCAGGGACGAAAGUCGGUCUUAGUGAUCUGACGGUGCUGAGUGGAAAGGCCGUCACUCAACGGAUAAAAGUUACUCUAAGGAUAACAGGCUAAUCUCCCCCAAGAGUUCACAUCGACGGGGAGGUUUGGCACCUCGAUGUCGGCUCAUCGCAUCCUGGGGCGGUAGUACGUCCCAAGGGUUGGGCUGUUCGCCCAUGAAAGCGGUACGCGAGCUGGGUUCAGAACGUCGUGAGACAGUUCGGUCCAUAUCCGGUGUAGGCGUUAGAAUAUUGAGAGGAGCCUUCUUUAGUACGAGAGGACCGAGAAGGACAUACCUCUGGUGUACCAGUUAUCGUGCCAACGGUAAACGCUGGGUAGCUAUGUGUGGAGUGGAUAACCGCUGAAAGCAUCUAAGUGGGAAGCCCACCUCAAGAUAAGUAUUCUCAC
Molecule: ribosomal RNA, 1244 nt
Filed under: metagenome
Description: bacterial LSU rRNA
Rfam family: Bacterial large subunit ribosomal RNA
Source: RNAcentral